RNAcentral lists this ribosomal RNA (887 nucleotides) under uncultured bacterium. RNAcentral describes it as "bacterial SSU rRNA". It matches the Rfam family "Bacterial small subunit ribosomal RNA", at positions 8 to 916 of the family's 1533-position model. The record is from RNAcentral.
AGAGUUUGAUCAUGGCUCAGGAUGAACGCUGACAGAAUGCUUAACACAUGCAAGUCUACUUGAAGCAACUUCGGUUGUGGAUGGUGGCGGACGGGUGAGUAACGCGUAAAGAACUUGCCCCCUAGUCUGGGACAACUGUUGGAAACGACAGCUAAUACUGGAUAUUAUGAGACCUUGGCAUCAAGGACUUAUGAAAGCUAUAUGCGCUAGGGGAGAGCUUUGCGUCCUAUUAGCUAGUUGGUGAGGUAAUGGCUCACCAAGGCGACGAUAGGUAGCCGGCCUGAGAGGGUGAACGGCCACAAGGGGACUGAGACACGGCCCUUACUCCUACGGGAGGCAGCAGUGGGGAAUAUUGGACAAUGGACCAAAAGUCUGAUCCAGCAAUUCUGUGUGCUCGAUGAAGGCCUUCGGGUUGUAAAGAGCUUUAAGUAGGGAAGAAGAAAGUGACGGUACCUACAGAAUAAGCGACGGCUAAAUACGUGCCAGCAGCCGCGGUAAUACGUAUGUCGCAAGCGUUAUCCGGAAUUAUUGGGCAUAAAGGGCGUCUAGGCGGUUUAGAAAGUCUGAUGUGAAAAUGCGGAGCUCAACUCCGUAUUGCGUUGGAAACUACUAGACUAGAGUAUUGGAGAGGUAAGCGGAACUACAAGUGUAGAGGUGAAAUUCGUAGAUAUUUGUAGGAAUGCCAAUUGGGAAGCCAGCUUACUGGACAAAUACUGACGCUGAAGCGCGAAAGCUAGGGGAGCAAACAGGAUUAGAUACCCUGGUAGUCCUAGCUGUAAACGAUGAUCACUGGGUGUGGGGGGUCGAACCUCCGUGCCGAAGUUAAUGCGAUAAGUGAUCCGCCUGGGGAGUACGUUCGCAAGAAUGAAACUUAAAGGAAUUGACGG